CAUGCAAGUCGAGCGGAGUUUUGAAAAGCUUGCUUUUCAAAACUUAGCGGCGGACGGGUGAGUAACACGUGGGCAACCUGCCCUUGAGACGGGGAUAACUCCGGGAAACCGGAGCUAAUACCGGAUAACACAUAUCUUCGCAUGAGGAUAUGUUAGAAGGUGGCUUUUAGCUACCACUCAAGGAUGGGCCCGCGGCGCAUUAGCUAGUUGGUGAGGUAACGGCUCACCAAGGCGACGAUGCGUAGCCGACCUGAGAGGGUGAUCGGCCACACUGGGACUGAGACACGGCCCAGACUCCUACGGGAGGCAGCAGUAGGGAAUCUUCCGCAAUGGACGAAAGUCUGACGGAGCAACGCCGCGUGAGUGAUGAAGGUUUUCGGAUCGUAAAGCUCUGUUGUUAGGGAAGAACAAGUACCUGUUAAAUAAGCAGGUACCUUGACGGUACCUAACCAGAAAGCCACGGCUAACUACGUGCCAGCAGCCGCGGUAAUACGUAGGUGGCAAGCGUUGUCCGGAAUUAUUGGGCGUAAAGCGCGCGCAGGCGGUUCCUUAAGUCUGAUGUGAAAGCCCACGGCCCAACCGUGGAGGGUCAUUGGAAACUGGGGAACUUGAGUGCAGAAGAGGAGAGCGGAAUUCCACGUGUAGCGGUGAAAUGCGUAGAGAUGUGGAGGAACACCAGUGG
This 682-nucleotide ribosomal RNA is filed under the name uncultured bacterium. Its description in RNAcentral is "bacterial SSU rRNA". It matches the Rfam family "Bacterial small subunit ribosomal RNA", at positions 54 to 715 of the family's 1533-position model. The record is from RNAcentral.